Molecule: non-coding RNA, 137 nt
Filed under: Terrisporobacter othiniensis
Lineage: Bacteria; Bacillati; Bacillota; Clostridia; Peptostreptococcales; Peptostreptococcaceae
Also listed under: 1 other name
Description: Molybdenum/Tungsten riboswitch aptamer (Moco RNA motif)
Rfam family: Molybdenum/Tungsten riboswitch aptamer (Moco RNA motif)
Source: Rfam by way of RNAcentral
AAAAUUUAAUAUUCUCAAGCUAACAUAUCUAAGGAUUAAGGUCUAUGAUAUCUAGCCAGGCAAAUUAUAUUGCCUCGGGUUAAUAUGGAAACAUGCUAGCCUUCCAUUGUUUGAAAAGAGAAUUUAUUUUUAGUUAA